This 468-nucleotide ribosomal RNA is filed under the name uncultured bacterium. RNAcentral's name for it is "partial 16S ribosomal RNA". It matches the Rfam family "Bacterial small subunit ribosomal RNA", at positions 28 to 507 of the family's 1533-position model. The record is from RNAcentral.
GACGAACGCUGGCGGCGUGCUUAACACAUGCAAGUCGAACGGAAAGGCCCUGCUUUUGUGGGGUGCUCGAGUGGCGAACGGGUGAGUAACACGUGAGUAACCUGCCCUUGACUUUGGGAUAACUUCAGGAAACUGGGGCUAAUACCGGAUAGGAGCUCCUGCUGCAUGGUGGGGGUUGGAAAGUUUCGGCGGUUGGGGAUGGACUCGCGGCUUAUCAGCUUGUUGGUGGGGUAGUGGCUUACCAAGGCUUUGACGGGUAGCCGGCCUGAGAGGGUGACCGGCCACAUUGGGACUGAGAUACGGCCCAGACCCCUACGGGAGGCAGCAGUGGGGAAUAUUGCACAAUGGGCGGAAGCCUGAUGCAGCAACGCCGCGUGCGGGAUGACGGCCUUCGGGUUGUAAACCGCUUUCGCCUGUGACGAAGCGUGAGUGACGGUAAUGGGCAAAGAAGCACCGGCUAACUACGUG